GUUGAUCUUAAAGCAAACCUUCUAAGUUAAACCUUUGUCAACUG
This 44-nucleotide non-coding RNA is filed under the name Dictyostelium discoideum AX4. Lineage: Eukaryota; Evosea; Eumycetozoa; Dictyosteliales; Dictyosteliaceae. The record is from RNAcentral.